GACGUAGGGCGCGAGCGUUGUCCGGAUUUAUUGGGCGUAAAGAGCUCGUAGGCGGCUUGUCGCGUCGUCCGUGAAAACCUGCGGCUCAACUGCAGGCUGGCGGUCGAUACGGGCAGGCUGGAGUUCGGUAGGGGAGACUGGAAUUCCUGGUGUAGCGGUGAAAUGCGUAGAGAUCAGGAAGAACACCAGUGGCGAAGGCGGGUCUCUGGACAGUUCCUGACACUGAGGCACGAAGGCCAGGGGAGCAAACGGG
RNAcentral lists this ribosomal RNA (253 nucleotides) under uncultured bacterium. Its description in RNAcentral is "partial 16S ribosomal RNA". It matches the Rfam family "Bacterial small subunit ribosomal RNA", at positions 524 to 776 of the family's 1533-position model. The record is from RNAcentral.